GUGGUUCAGGUGGCUCAAGUACCUCUUGCCCUCGUGACGCACUCAAACUAGGAGUGUGUGCCAAUGUGCUAAACGGGUUGUUGAACGUGACUUUAGGUCAACCACCAGUUACCCCUUGUUGCUCCCUCCUCAAUGGUCUUGUUGAUCUUGAAGCUGCAGUGUGCCUUUGCACUGCCCUUAGGGCAAACAUUUUGGGCAUCAACCUCAACCUUCCAAUCUCACUCAGCUUGCUUCUCAAUGUUUGCUCAAGGCAAGUCCCACGUGAUUUCCAAUGUGCUUAAUCAUCAUGGUCUAUGAUAUGCACAAGUUGCUUCGUGCUUAUUCGUAGUUGUGGCUUUCCGUUAAUGUCUUUUAUUUUCAAAUUUCAUUGCUCAUGGUGCGAUUCCUAUACGUGCAUGGAUGGUUAACUUCUCGUUAUUCUGUCGCUUUAAUUAGUGUUUGUUUUAUUUAGCAAAGUGUCGAAUUAAAUAAACUCCCGAUGCUUUUCUUAUGUAAAAGCAAAAGGAAUCAAAGAUGAUAGUGUUAUUUAUUUGACAGAUAAAUGAUUAAUGUUACGAACACUUCUUAAUUUUUAUUGCUGUCUCUUUUUGUUUUUUCUUUUUGCUGAAUGAGACAUGAGAGCAUGGCUGAUCUGGAAAUUAAAUUAUUUUUCUCUUUCUAGCUAACUUCUGUUCAAUGCCUGACAUGAGGAAAACAAAAAUUCAAGAAAAGAAUAAAAUCUAAAGCUAACAUGCACAGGCACCAACACUGUAAUCAGCCCGUGACUAAUGUACUUUAUGACAUCACGUGCAAGCAAUAUUAUUUUAUUUUAUUAAAAAAACUGAAUAUAUAUAAUUAGCUAAUUAAACUGAAUCAAAAUGAUAGGUUUACGACUUUGGGCCAAUUCGUUCAUUUGAAUAUACAUUGUUCUGUGCCUGCUUCCAAGAUAUGCAUACGUAAAUCAUUCCCUCUCAGUAAUGAAGCAAAUGCAUCUUAGUUUUGUUUCACCCGAACAAGUGGUCCCUAGCUCCACUUUUGCUCUACCGAUCAGUUUAUUAACCAUAGUAGAAGUAUAUUUGGUUGCACAAAUUCCAUAGAUAUAUUAAGCAUUUAUUCCGAUUUCAAAUAUUAAAAAAACAUUUUUUUUAUCUCAAACAUAUUAUUUUUAACUAUCUUUAUCUUUGACUAAAAAAACUAAUUAAUUUUAUCUUAUUUAAUAUUAUUAUUUUUAAUAUAUUUUUCAUUUUUAAUUAAUGAUAUUUUUAUUUCUAAUAUCAAAUUGAAUGAAUAAUACGUUAAAAAAUAUUUUUAAUUGAGAUUGAUGUAAUUAAAUAUAAUUAAUUAAAUUUUUUAAUUAAUGUGAAUAAUUUUUUUUUCUUAAUUUGAGACCGGAUAGAGUAGAUGAGAAGCAAUGGUUUCUUACUUUUGGUUCAACUAAUGCAUUUUUCAAGAUGCAUAUAUAUAAAUAAAUAAAAAACACACACGCACUAAAAGUUCAGCCUCCCACAUGUAAUUAAGGAGGAAAGAAGUUGGGGAGAUUAGAAUCAGGUAGAAUGGUUUAUAAUUUGCAAUUCAAAUGUAUGAUUUCAUACCUGUAAGGCUGUAACCAGUUGGCACUAGUGUAUUUUCUUUUUCUUUUUCUUUUCGUAUUUCUUGCACCGUUGCACAUAAGAAAUAAAUAAAUAAAUAAUUCCACCACACAUAUCUAUUUGUUGUGUAAACCAUAUGACACAUUGGUUUAACUAUUUUAUUGAAGAGAAGUAGUACAGUGAUUAUUGAGGUUUAUGACAACAGGCUUUUCGAUUUUCGAAGUUCAAUAAUUUCUAUACAACUAUUUUUAAUUAUAAAUACACUAUUGGGAAUCUAUUAUCGUACAUUAUCAAUAUAUAAAUUAAAAUUAUCUAGCAGCUUGUCAUGUGUCAGUUGCUUGCUGGACAGUGCAACAUCAUUAAUUUUUUUUCACUUUUUUGUCUCUUUUUUUUUUUUCAUUUUCUCAUUAUUUUUUUUAAAAAAAAUCUGUGCAAAACACAGGCCAUACACCUAGUUAAACAUAAACCUAUAAUCGUGCACGAGCAUUGGAAAUGACUUUCUGGAGUUUGUCCUAACUUUUUUUCCGCAAAAAUUUGAAAGCUAAAAUAUUAAGUAAGUUUAAAAAAUAAAUUAUUUAAUUAGCAAUUUUCAUUUAUUUAGUUUUAAAGCUUCUUUUAAAUGAAAAAUUGUUCGGUAGUUUUUUUAAAAAAAUAAAUUUGUUUAAAACUAACUGACACAUUCAAAGAAGAAUAUGUUGGUAAAAAAAAAUAUUAUACUUUGUACAAUUGAUUUAAUCAACAUAACUUUUUAAUGAUAAUAAAAAUACAUAAAAUUGAGCAUUAAUGUUUCACUAAUCAAACUAAUUUUAAAUAAGUAUUCUUUAUUACCAUUUUUUACUAAAAAGCAUUUUCUAUAUCACUUGGCACAACAAAAUUGUCUCCCUCAUGAUACUUAAAUAUUCUUGACUUUCUCAAACAAUAAAUUAAAGGUUUGAUGGAUUACAAGUAAUCUACUCAAAGAGUAAGGAUGUCAAGUUAAAACACAAAAACAAGUAAUUUUUCAUAGUAAAGGACUGUAAUUUUUUCCCUAGAGCAUUUCGUCCUUCCAAUGAGUAUCAAAGUGUCACUGCUCUAUUUCUUGAAUGCCUGAUAAUUUCUUUAACUUGUCUCACGAUUCUUCUACGGUUCAAUCUUGGAUAUUAUAGGCUUCAUUUGAGAGGACCUUAUUGAGUGAGAGCCCAUUGAUAUUUUCCUAUUAGGAAAUUUGACACAUGCUACUUUUGAUGUGUCCAUUUCUGGUGACGAGAGAAAUAAUAAGACAUAAGUUAUUAGAGAUAAGGGGAGCAACAUGAAUACUAAAUCUUGAAGCUUAAAGAAGUUUUAUCUUUUAUAUAUCCAACUCAUUUGAGUGACAUUUGUAUUGAUUGUUGUGUUGUUUAUUACAUUUUAGUCUCUAUCUUUUCAUGUGUACAUCAUGCAUCAUCAUAUAGGAGUAAGGAGAUUGUUUCUAAAGUUAGAAACUUUCUUCAAUGCAUAAAACUUUUUGUUUAAUUGAUUACAAGACUAAUCGUAAUCGAUUACACAAGUGUUUACAGCUUGUAGAGAGACUUUCGUAUUGGUUUAAUCGAUUACAAGCUAAUCAUAAUUGAUUACACAGUUCAAUUGAGACUAUGAUUGGUUUUUCAAGAGUUUCUACUUUAAUCGAUUACUAGAUAAUCAUAAUCGAUUACUUUAUUCUUAAAAGUAUUCCCAUAAGUGAUAAAAAAAACACUUUAAUCAAUUACAUCAAGAAUCUAAUCAAUUACAUUGUUCUUAAAAGUUUUUCAAAUAUUGGGAAGAACACUUUAAUUGAUUGAAAUGAUAAUAUAAUCGAUUACUUCUUCGAAAUAAUCAAUUACAUUGACUUUUUAAUCGAUUACAGACAUUUAUAACUAUUUUCUCUAUAAAUAACUAGUUUGUAUUCUCACUUAUGUGUGAGUGUGCAAGCUGAAAUAAGUAAAAGAAAGAGAGAAGAUAAAGUGCUUAGAAAAAAUGCAACUCACAAUUUCUAAAAUUCGUUUUUGAAGAUCUCAUGGUAAAAAGUGAGUUGUGAAUUUCUCUUGAGUUCAAGAAGACACGUAUUCAUUCAAGCAAGGUUAUUGUGCAUGAUUGAUCAGGUUGUGUCUCUCCUUGACUCAAUUUUUCAUGCUAGAAUAGGUUUUUCUAGUUUGGGUUAAGGGUAGGUUUCUCUUAAACUCUUAUUCACAAAGGACCCUAGGGUUAGAUGCCUUAGUCUUUUUUUUUUUAGAAACUGAUAUUGAUUGUGAUUGCUUGUAAGAAUUCUAUACGCAUAAUGAAAAUCUAAUUUGGGUUGGAUUAGCUUCUUUAGAGACAGAGAGUGAACUGGUAUAAAUACUAGUGUACUUCUUGUCUUGAUCUUAUCUUUCUUUUUCUCGAUCUAGUCUUGAUCAAUUUAAUGAAGGUUAAAGAAAUAUCUUUUUGAGAAAGUACUUAAAAAAAGANNNNNNNNNNNNNNNNNNNNNNNNNNNNNNNNNNNNNNNNNNNNNNNNNNNNNNNNNNNNNNNNNNNNNNNNNNNNNNNNNNNNNNNNNNNNNNNNNNNNGAUUGAUUAAUAUUGGUUUAUAAAAAAUUUGUGAUGCGAUCCUUGAAAAAGAAUUUAAUAAAUUUUUUUAAAGUCUGAUUUGAUAUAGAAACCAAUUCAUCCCUUCUCUUUGUUUGUGAGUUCUACCAUCUUUUUCAUAAGUUUUUUGAGGUGUUAGACAUCUUUUUUGAGUUUGGUUCUAACAAUCUUUUUCUUUUUUUAUGAUGACAAAUCAUAUUAAAUUUUGAUCACAAAUAGCAUAAUCAUGUAAAGAUAUAUAUAAAAAAUAAACAUGAUAUGUUAUGUAUCAGAGCAUAAAGGAUAGAAAGUUUUACAAGAGCUGAGGUAUCAAAGCAACACAUAUUAGAUUAGAACAACAAAAUCAAAAGAAAGACAAUUGUAUCAAAUUAUAACAAGGUAAGGAUGAUGCUGGUCCCUAAUAAAAAUUUUGUUGCAUUGGAUUCCUAAUAUAUUAAAAUUUUUAUUUUGAGUUUUUACGGUCAAUUAAGUGAUGAUAUGACAUUCUUUAAGUGAUUGAUAUAUAUUGAGAAUAUUUAUUUAUGAGAUACCACAUCAUCACUUAACUAAUAAUCCACAAUAACUCAAAAUUAAACAAAAGCUUUAAUAUACUAAAGAUUGAAUGUAAUGAUCAACUUUUUUUAUUAAGGCCCCAAAACAAAAAUUUAUCAUUUAUCAAGGACUUCAAACAUAUUUAAGUCUAAUUAUUUUUAUGUUUAUAAACUUUUUAAGCUUAAAUAUGUCUGUGAUAUGUGAUAAAUUAGUAAAUUUUGUUCUAAAUCUCUAAUAAUUUUUUGUACUACGAGUCUUUAACAAAACAAAUAUUUCAUUUUGGGUAUAUGUUAUUUUGUUAGUUCUUAUAAUAUUUUGUUUAUUUUGUGUUAGUAUAUAUUUUAAAAAUAUUUGAUAGGGAGUAACGGAUUAGAAAUGACCUACAUAUUUUAGGGAUAAAAAUAAGAAAAAUAAUAUAGUAUAUAUAUAUAUAUAUAUAUAUAAAAGAAACCCAAAAUAAAAAUUUCCUAAUUUAUCAAGGACCAAAAUAUAUCUGAACCAAAUCUUUAAUAUAAAAACAUUCAAAAAGCGAUUUUCUAAUGAUUUAAAACCACUAGAGUAUUUAACUCAUAUGGUUUUGUGGUGGUUUUUUUUUUUUUUUUUACAUAUUUUGGAGAUUUUAAAGAAAAAUAAAUAAAAACAUGAAUGUGAAAUUGUGACGAUUAUUUAUUUUACAUAUUUUGACGAUUUUUAAAAAAAUAACUGAUGGUGAAUAAUUUUCACAAAUUGUAACAUUAUUAGUGCAGUAAAAGAAAGAGACUAAAUUUAGUUUUUUUACAAAUUUGAAGGAAUAAUAAAAAUAAAUUUUUUUAAGGACAAAAAAAUAAUUACUCAAAUUUAAAUAAUUAAAAACAUAUUAAGUUUAGAUAUUAUGACAAAACUUUUAAAAAGGGAGGAUCGAGAUUAAUCUAAUAAUAAUUGAGUGAACCUCCUUUUAAUCAAUUCUUGAAUUUGUAAAACAUUUUCAUGGUAGUUUCUUGAAAUUAGAAAAUAUCUAAUAAAAUUUUGAAAUUAAAACUAUUACUUUCUUUGUUUCAUUAUAAUUGUUGUGUAAGAGAAAAAAAAUAUCCUAAAAUAAUUAUUAUUUUAAUUUUUUAAUGUAAUAUUAAUGGUGUUUUUUCACUAAUAAUCCCUUAUAAUAUUAAUUGUAGAAAACAAAAUCUAUAAAUGAAUUAAUGAUGAUAUAAAGUUACUUUUGAAAAUUACUACUCUACUUUAUAUAUUUAUUAUUUUUUCUUUAUCUAUGUAAAAACAAUCUAAAACAACUAUUAUUUUAGGACAAUUUAAGUAUUAUUUUAGUCUUUAAUUAAUACUCUCUCCAGUCUCCAUUACAAGCAAAAAUUGACAUCACACUUUUUUAAGAAAAUUAAUUUAUUCAUUAAAUUGUAUCAUUUUCAAUUAAAAAAUAAAAUAAAAUUCUUAAAUUAUUCUUUAUUAGAAUUUGAUAUUAAACAUAAAAAAGUGUUUGAUAUUAUUAAAUGAAAAGUAUUUUAAAGAGAGACUAAUUAAAUAAGAUAUAAAUAAAUAAAUUUUUCUUAUAUUAAAAAAUAAUAAUAAAAUUUUAUUGCAUAUAUUCGAGAUAAAAGGAAAUAUAAACAACAUACUAACAUAAUAAUUUCUAAAUUUUGCAACUUACUAUCAUUAUAUGAAGCUAACGGCAUAGAUUAAUAUUAUAACCUAUUUCAAUUUCACAUUUAUCUAAAUCCAAAGACUACUAGCAUAACAAAUAAAUUGAAGACUAAAACCAGAAUUAAAUCACUCAAUAAUAAUUAUAACUUGUACUCACUCCGUAUCAAAAUCACUACAGUAGCCUUUAAAAAAACUCAAAUUAACUGAUGAGACAUUUUUAAUGAGAUAUUUAAAUAUUUAUUUUAAUUUUAUCUUCUACUAAAUAUUUUUGUUUUGGAAUAUUUAAUAUUACUCCCUUCCAUCUUAAAAAUAUUAGAAAAAAAUUGAUUCACGUCAAUUAAGAAAAUUAGAUAAUAACAUUUAUAACUACAUCAAUAUCAAUUAAAAAAAAAUAUUUUUUAAUUUAUCAUUUAUUGAAACUUGAAAUCAGAAAUAAAAGAAAUAUUAAAAUUAAUACCUUUAUUAAAUAAAUAAUAUUUUAGAGAUAAUAAUAUUAAAAUAAUUAAAAUUUUAUUAUAAUUUAAGACAAAAGAAUAUAUUUUUUUCUUCAUUAUAUAUUUGAUACCGACUUGAAGGAGUACAUUUAUUGAAACUAAGAAAAAAAUAAAAUAUUUUAAUAAAAUUAUUUCCUAAUAAAUUAAUACUAAUUCUGUUUGAAUACUACUGUUUUCUUAAUAUCUGUAAAACAAAAUGUUUUCUUAAUUCUGUUAGAAUAUGUGCAAUAUUUAUGCAGUCAAUCUCAUGAACUAUUUAUUGUAAUCAGGAAUCAUGGACAGGUGGAACGUUAGUUUCAGUACCCACAUUACUUUUUUGUUCUCAACAAUUUGUUUACAUCUGCGUCAUAAAAUCUUAAGGGUUGAAACCUGCAGUCCUGCACAUACUAAAGCUCAGAAUACUCCGUAAUUUAUUGCUCAGCGUUGAUUAAAUUAAUGUUCUACGUUAGUAUUAUACUCCUUUCUGAGAUCGCAGCUUAAUUAGACCCUCCUUUCCGGAUGAAUAUAUAAUUAUUAACUUGAAGUUUUCUUACAGAUAAACGCAAUCCAGAUUAGCCUGUGACUGCGACAGCAAAUUACUACUAAAAGCAAAUUAAUGGUUUCCACGCGUUUGGGCCAUGGCAUGGUCACAUGAAAAUUCUUUACUAGGCUUUUUAUAUUAUACUAUAAUAGCAAUCAUAGAAGCAUUUACAGAUUAGAGAGUCACGGGCUUCGUUUAACCAAAGUGGGCUCCAUUAAUAUUACACGCUCACGCACACCUGGAGGAUCAAGAUCUCAAUGUCUAACGGUUAGGAAUGUGAAACACCUUAAUUCGACAAAGAACUUUGGGGUAAAUAGUCAUUUGAUCAUAAAAACAUGAGAUGCUGACACCUUAAUUCGUGAAAGGCAAAAAUUACAAAGAUAUUUGUUAUCGCUAACAUUCUGACAUGUUUUAUUCACACGUGAAUAACACAUGACAGUUAAGUGUUAUUCACAUUGGUUGUCACAUAUUUUAAAAAAUAAUUUUUUUUAUUCGUCUUUAAAUUUAAUUUCUUAUUGUUUUUUUGGUAUAUCAAGGUCUAAAUUUAAUGAAUUAUUGAUAUUUUGAUCCUAAACUUAAUUACUUAUUAUCAUUUUGAUUUUUAAAUAUAUUUUUAAAUUUUCAAUCAAAUCUUACUUUGCAUAUAAAUUAUUAGCAUAAUUUAUUAUGACUUUCACCUCCACCAUCUACAUGUCAAGUAAACCAUUCAAGUGAAACAAUAAAUUUGAAUAGAAAAUAACACAAAAAAUAUCUAAAAAAAACUAUUUAUUUUUUCCUUAACAAACAUUGUCUAACUUUAAAAAAUUACAUUUUAUUCAAUUAAAAAAAUCAAAUUACCUAUUUAAUAUUCUUAAGUAACCAGUACAUUCAAAAUUCUUUCAUGUCUCAUUAUACAUGUGACAUUUAAUAACAUUUUUUUUGCCUAACAUUUAGUAAAAACAUUGCAUUUAAAAAAUAUCAUCAAAUAUAAAUAAAUGUUACUAAUAUAUUUUUGCGAAGAAGGGAAUGAGAGAAAAGUCACGAGUUCGAUCCUCUUGUUAACAAAAAUUAACAAACUUACAAUUAACAUUUGUCGAUAAAAAAAACUGAUAUAUAUUUAUAAUAUUUUAUCAAAUGUUGUGUAUAACCAUGUUACUAAAACCUUUAGCAACAUGAGCUAUACACAAUGAUCAAUAAAAUUUUGCACAAAGAUAUUAGUAACAUUUAUUCAUAUUUGAAAAUAUUUUUUAAAUGUUGUCAAAAUCUUUUAGCAACAUUUUUACUUAGUGUUAAGCCAAAAAAUGUUGCUAAUUAAAGACCACAUGUGUGAUAGUAUCUAUAUAUAUCUUGCGGUAAUAAUUCAUGAAAAUAACAACUUUUGUUGUUUACAUUUUUUGCUUUGCUUGAACAUGUUACUUUGAUAAUCAAUAAUUUACCUAUUGAUCGCAUGGAUUAUGUGUCAUGCCUUUCACUUACACCUCCUCAUAUUAAAAAAAUUCCACCCGUUACAUUUCAAAUGUACUCAAAAGAAUAAAAAAAGAUAUGUGCUUUGUGUGCCAUUAGAGAGCCACUAUCCACGCACUGGCCACUCAAGUACUUUAAUAUAAAACCCUUGAACAAUAAUGUAAAAAUCACAAAAAUAAGACCUAAGACAAGGUGUAGGACACUUACCCCAUCACAAAGGUAUGCAUGUAAACAAAUAUUUCUAACAUUCUUAUUUUUUUUUUUUUUAUGAUUUUCAAUUUUUUUAACUAUCUUUUUGUGAUGACUGUUAUUCCAUAAAAUUAAUCUAUUAUACUCAUAUUAAUAACAUACAAGUUAAUAACUUGAUUUAGAUUGAAGCUUUGGUUUAGAACCUUACAAAAUUUUGUUAGGUAUGUCUUGGAUUUAGGUGCUAGCUAUUGUUAUCUAAUUAAAUCACUUAUAAAUUAGAUUCAUAUAUAGUUAUAUUAUAAUUCAAAUGGUGGACUUGGUAAGCGAAAGGUGAAAAAUAUUACGGAUAAGAACUGAAAGUAAGGACAUAUAGUAACGAUUAUGCUAAUAAUUUACAAACAACAAAUGACUUAAUUAAAAAUUCAUAAGUGAUUAAGUUUAAGGACUAAAAUAUUAGUAAUUCUUGGCUACUCAUUUCAUUAAUCUAAUCAUUGAAUUUUUUUUUAAAUCAAUAACAUUUACUUACAUCAAAUUUAUUUAACAAAAUAUAAAUUUUUUAAAUUGUUAUAAAAAUUAAUAUAUGUACUUAAUAAGAACUUUAAAUUAAAAAUUAGAUUAAUAAAAUUUAAUACAUACAAAGAAUAAUUGAAGGGGUAACUUAACCAAAAGUUAAUUUUGAGUAACAUGAUCCAAGAGUUAGUUCGAAGAUAAAAUUGUUCAAUUAAAAAUUAUAUUAGUAUAAUUUAAAUCCUUUCACACAUAUGUAUAAAGUAGAGAAAUGAUAUUAAUACAUUUUUAAUCAGUACUAUUACUUAAAUUUUGUUAAAAUUCUAUUUUUUUUAUAAAUUUUAUCUUAUUUAUUAGUUUCUACCCAUAAUUUUAUAUUUUCUAAUAAAUUUUAACCAUCAUUAUUCGUUCUCUUAAUAUCAUGCUACGGGUGUCCAAAAAUGUAAAAGUUAUGAUAUACAAACACUUAUUUAUUUUAAACAUUUUCUAACCUUUCUCAUUUCUUUUCAUGAUUUUUUUUCUAUCAUAUCUAUAUUUUUUUUUCACUCUCUAGGUGUAUCAUAGUAUAAUGAGUGUCCAUAAAACAUUUUACAAAACCUAAUUAUAAUGGGGCUGCCAUUCAACGUGCAAAAGUAGUGAUUGAAAAAUCGGCGAUUCCAGUAAUGAACUUCCGGUGCUAUCGAGUCGUAGGUAGGUGCAUAACUUUUCUACGGAUCCACAAAUUGAUGGGAGUCCCCACAUCACCACACAAAUCAUCCAAAUCCUAUUUCAUCGAUUUUAUUCGCCAGCUAAAACUCAUUCAAUAACGUCCAUAGUUGCUUCAUUAAAUUAAUUAAAUAUUUGAGUUCAUUACUCCUCUCCCAAACCCGUUUAACAUUUUUUUGUUCUAAAACAAUUCACCCCACUUGGCUUUCCAAAACACUAUAUAAACCACCAUUCACUUCAAAUAACUCCCAUCCCUACAAACACUCUUCUCUUAAGCUCUAGUAGUUAAGAAACAUUAGUUGAAGAAAAUAAGAAACAUUAUACCUAGCUAUUAGAGUUUAAGAUGGCUUCAAAAACUUGUUCCUCCCUUGCCCUUUUCCUCACACUCAACCUCGUUUUCUUCUCACUUGUCUCUGCAUGCGGUUAUACACCAUGCCCUGGUCCAAACCCAAAGCCAAGGCCCAACCCCAACCCUAACCCUAACCCCAGCCCAAGUGGCUCGUGCCCCCGUGACGCACUCAAACUAGGUGUAUGUGCCAAUGUGCUAAACUUGGUGAACGCCACUUUGGGUCAACCACCAGUUACCCCUUGCUGCACCCUUCUCGAUGGUCUCGUUGACCUUGAAGCUGCAGUGUGCCUUUGCACUGCCCUCAAAGCAAACAUUUUGGGCAUCAACCUCAACCUUCCAAUCUCCCUUAGCUUGCUUCUCAAUGUUUGCUCAAGGAAAGCUCCACGUGAUUUCCAAUGUGCCUAAUCAUGGCCCAUGAGCAAGUUGCUACGUGCUUAUUCCUAGUUGUGGUUUUCCGUUGUUUUUUUUUUUUUUUGAAAUUCCAUUUAUCAUGGUGUGAUUCUUGUUCGUGCAUCAGUGCAUGGAUGGGUAAAUUCUCGUUAUAUUCUGCCGCUUUAUUGAUUGUUUUAUCAGGCAAAGUGUCACAUUAAAUAAAUUCCCAAUGCUUAAUUUCUUAUGUAAAGCAAAAGGAAUAAAAAAAUGAUAGUGUUAUUUAUAUGGCAGAUAAAUGGUUAAUGUUGCAAAUACAUUUUAAUAUUUAUUGAUGCCAUUUUGUUUUGUCUUUUCGGUGAAUGAGAGCAUCAGCUGAUCAGCAAAAUUACAUUGCUUUCUAACUUGUGUCCAAUGCGCAACUAGAGGAAAACUAAUUCAAGAAAAGAAUAAAAAUGAAAGUAAGCAUGCACAACACUGAGCCCGUGACGAUUGUACAAAGCACUCCACGUGCAUGCACUAUUAUUUCAUUUAAAAAAAAAGCUCAGAAUAAUUAGCUAUUUAAACCAAGAUACAUAUUAAAUUCUAUGGUACCACAGUAACACUUUUAGAGGUUUUGGAAAAUUUCAUAUUUGGACCAAUAGUUAUUAAGUUACUUAGUCAUCAAUUUACUAUAUGUGGUAAUGAAAUUGUUAUAUAUAUAUAUAUAUAUAUAUAUAUAUAUAUAUAUAUAUAUAUAUAUAUAAUUUAGUCCCUAAUUAAUUCAAAUAUUUUUUCUUUUAAAAUUAUUAUUUUUAAUUAUUUUAAUUAAAUAGAUAGAUCUGAUCAUUGACUCUGUAAAUCUUGAAGUUUUGGCAUUCAUGUGUCCUUCGACCUUAAAGAAGUGGAAAAAUAUCCAUGUUAAAUCUACUAUGGGGAAGGUUAAUUAAAAUUCAAUCCACAAUUGGUGACUCUAUCACUUACAAUGCUCUACCUUAUUCCAUGUUCCAAAAGAGCAUGUAAAAAAUCAUAUUUCCUCCAAUCUUAGUUAUAAGCAAAAAAGACAUUUUAUAUUUAUUAAAAAAAUUAACAAACUUUAUUAAAUUGUAUCAUUAAUUCCUAAUUAAAAAAUAAAUAUUUUUUCUAAACUAUUGGACUUUAUAUCAAAUAUAUAAAAAAAAUAAUCUUAUUAAAUGAAUAUAUUUUAGAGAGAAUCUUAUUAAAUAAGACAUAAAUAAUUCAAAUUUAAUAUUCUAAAUCCAAUGAAAUACUAAUUACUGUUCUUUACAAGCCUUCUGAAGUCCUUAGCUUGGUUCCUAAUCUAGAUCAGUCCCCCAGUUCAAGUGUAUGGAGAGGCCUAUGUCUUCCUCCUAACCCUCCUAUAUACUUUAGCCUUUAGAAGGGAUGUUCUGAUUAAUCGGGAUAUUCAUCGGUUGGUGUGAGUUGCGAUUGCAUCAAAAUCCCGUAGAUUGUGGGCUCUUACACAUCGAUGUAGGCCAAGUGUAGGUCUUUCUAUUGUGAGUGAUUUACCUCGGGACGAAUGAGGUGUGGCCCAAUGCGUAGUACUUCAAGCCACGAGUGGAGUAUAUAUGCACGAAGUGGCUUUGGUACACAACCCCUUAAGCCACAAGUGGAGUAUGCACAAAGUGGGUUUGUAGAGUUCGGGUUGACCGAGGUGUGGCACAAUACACAAUCCCUCAAGUCACAAGCUAGAGUGAAGUAUGCACUAAGUGAGUUUGCAGAGUACUAUCAAGAUUGAAAACUUGAAGGUACUUGAAACACACAUUGAAUUCUUAACAAAGUCAACGAUUAUAAAUCUUGCAAGAACACUCAUUGAAUUCUUUUGUAAAGAUAUAAAUGAAUGAAACACAAGUAAAAGUGUCAAAAAUAUCCCUGCUUAAUAUAAUAUAGAAACAAAAAAAAAAGACUAAUAAUACAUGAACCACGCCUAUUAUUACUACAAGAUUUUUUUUAAUGUUACACCCUAUAUUAACACCCAUCUUUUUCUCUAUCCCUCUCUUCUUCUCAUAUCAAAAUAUCUAUGAUACCUAUUAUCCCCCCCUCUCUUCUUCUCAUAUCAAAAUAUCUAUGAUACCUAUUUUACCAGAAAAAUACUUAUAUUUUUUUUAUAUUCAUGAAAUAAUCAAGNNNNNNNNNNNNNNNNNNNNNNNNNNNNNNNNNNNNNNNNNNNNNNNNNNNNNNNNNNNNNNNNNNNNNNNNNNNNNNNNNNNNNNNNNNNNNNNNNNNNAUAUAUAUAUAUAUAUAUAUAUAUAUAUAUAUAUAUAUAUAUAUAUAUAUAUAUAUAUAUAUAUAUAUAUAUAUAUAUAUAUAUAUAUAUAUAUAUAUAUAUAUAUAUAUAUAUAUAUAUAUAUAUAUAUAUAUAUAUAUAUAUAUUUACAUAAUACACGAACUACUUGCUAAUGAUUAUAUAGACUCCAAUCCCAAUCCCUCAGGUGGCUUCUGCCCUGGCGAUGCACUCAAACUAGGCAUAGGUGCCAAUGUGCUAAAUGGGCUGCUCAACGUGACUUUGUGUCAACCACCGGUUAUAUCUUCUUCUUCCCUCCUCAACGGUCUCAUUGACCUUGAGGCUGCACUGUCCUUAGAGCAAAUAUUUUGGGCAUCAACCUCAACCUUUCCAUCUCACGCAGCUCACUUCUCAAUGCUUGCUCAAGGCAAGUCCCAUGUGAUUUCCAUUGUGCCUAAUUACCCAACAUAUCAUAUAUAUCAUCGUACCUACUUUUGCUUUGUGUUUUCCAGUUGUGACUUUCCUUUCUUUUUUUUUUUUCAAAUUCCAUGUGUGGUUCUUGUACGUGCAUGGAGGGUUAGCUUCUCGUUAUUCCUUCCUUUCAGUGUUUUUGUAGUUAUCUGGUAAGAGUGACGCGAUAUAUAUUAUAUAUAGAAGCUCUCGAUGGUUGCUUGUGUAAAUCGCAAUGUACAAAAGUUGAUGAACUAGUCUGUUAUUUAUAAAAAGAAAACCAAACACAAGCGCUUGCAAAUGACCUCGUUAUUAAUGCUUCUAUUAUAUAUAUAUAUAUAUAAAGAGAUCAAAUAUCAAUAUAGUUUUGACCAACUAUUAUCUCAUUUAAUAACUUUCAAUUAAUUAAUAUUUUUGUUAAAACUCGUUAUUUGAUUAAAAAUUCAUUUCACAUGAAUUAAAUAUAUAAAAUUUUAUAUUAAUAUAAAAUUAUUUGUUAUCUUAUUAUUCAUAUAAACUAAAAUUGAUGUAAUAAAAAAAAUUAAAAUAUAUUAAAUUAUAAAUCAUUUGAUUAUUUUUUUAUUAUUGUUUAAUUUUAAUAAAAUUUAACACAUAUAAUAUAUAUUGAUAAUAUGUAAAUAUAAUUUAAUGAUCAAAUAAGUAAAAUUCACAAUUUUUUAUCAAAUUAUAGAAUAAUAAAAUAUUAAAUUAUAUUAAUAUAAUUUCAUCUAAUACAUAUUAAUUGUAUUUCAUGUGUAAAGAAUUUAGUAUUUUUUUAAUUGCAAUUAGUCUUGUAUAGUUUAAUGAUAUUUUUACCAGUGACUUGGUUUUCAUAUUGUUUUCCGUUAAGGCAUUAAUGGUCAUUUUCAUAAACAUUGGAUUUGGUAAAAGUCGAAAGGAUAAGACGAUUUUGCCAUAUGCUUAACUUGGCACUCUAUGGCUUGGCCUUUAUGGCUAAUAAGUAACACAUUUGUUUUUAAAAAUGUAUCAUUUGGCUUGAUCUCUUUGUUGGAUUUGAUUGAAUACUAAUCUUGGUCGUGGCAUAUAAGAAUAUGAUUUGUCCACCACUCGUAUAAUGACAUACAAACUAGCCUAGUUUUAAGCCACAACUUCUAACUUUGCAUCAUAUUCGGUUUCUAUGUAACCAAAUACACCAUAUGAUGCAAAGCCACAAAAUCUUCCAGCACUCUAUGCAUUUCUUUCCAUUUGCCAAUCCUAAAUUCGAUAUAAAAAAAUGUUGUAUUCCAUUAUUUGGUAGAACCGUAUUCACAUCUAACUACUGGUACCAAGUAGUCUCUUUUGAAAUGGGGAGAUUAUUAAAGUUAAACUCUUUUAGAAUGGAAAUAAAAGUCUAAUUAUGUUUAAAAAGUUUUAGAGUUUAAUAUUUUUUCAUAUAUAUUUUCUUAAUGAAAAUUAUUACACUGUUAAUUUGUUAUAAUUUUUAAAAUAAUUAUUACAUUAGAUAUAAUUUUUAAAAUAAUUAUUGUAAAUUAAAGCUAACAAUUUUACUGUACACAAAAAUUUAUAAUUGUGUGAUAAAACAAAUAUAAGUAUAUUUUUAAAGCAAAAUAUAAGUAUAUUCUAAUUAAAUACUAUUAACAUUUGCUAAGGCUAAUAAUUUGAAAACUUUGCAUAAUAUUUUGUUUUUGUUUUUGACAAUCGUGUAAUAUAAAAUUGGUUAAUGUGACUUCACGCCCCACCCCCAAAUUAUGAAGAUUUCACGAGCCAAAAACGCGUGGAAAACUUAGAUUUGAUUUUGAUAUUAAUUGGACAUCACAGAUUAAGUCAAUAAUUGCGGACUUGUUCACAAAGGAAUGUCUAAACGAAACUCUUUUUAAAAUGAAAAAAAACGUAGUACAACGUUCUUCAUUGGCUUAUGGGCCUUUGCUUGUUAGGCUUCUAGCUAUUAUAAGCUCCUAGUUGCAUGCUUCCUGUCGAAAAUUGAUCAUAUUUACAUAAUUGUUUUUUUUUUAACUUAAUACUUUCGUCGUGCAGUGACGACUGAUCCACGUAUCAACGAGAGGAUGCACUUCCAACCCUUCGCUUUUUUGGAAAACACACACACACAUAUAUUUUUUAAAAUAUGUAUAUUUUAUCUUCUUAAUUUUAUAUAUUUGAAUCAUCUAUCCUUAAUUUUAUUAGUAUUUUCAUAAAAUAUUUUAAACAUAAAUUUAAAUAAUAUAAGUACAUACACACUAAUUUACCCUUUGUUCCUUUUUCAAUCCUUAAAAUUUUAAGGCGCAAAUGAAUAAAACAACAAAAAGAUAAGAUAUGUAUUGAAAUUAUACAUAUGGUUCCACCUUAUUUCUGGUUACGGUACCCAGUUUAAUUACAUAAUAUAUUGCUUAUCAUGAAAGAAACGGGAAAAAGGAAACAACUAACAAAAACCAAAUUAUAUAUAUAUAUAUAUAUAUAUAUAUAUAUAUAUAUAUAUAUAUAUAUAUAUAUAUAUAUAUAUAUAUAUAUAUAUAUAUAUGAAAUAUAUAUAUAUAUACACAUAUAUGAAACCAUCAAAUCACAUAGAUUAUAGUUGAAAAUAUCAUUUUUAAUCAAUAGGAAAGGUAAAAGUCUCACUAUUUACGGGAAAUAAAAGAAUUAACUACGACGAAAUUGAUAUUUUUUUUCAAAUUACCUUUCUAAGCCUUUUCAAUCGGUAAAAUAUUUUCUUUAAUUUAUUACACGUAUUUUUUUUUUUACUUUGAGAAAAAAUAAUUUUUUUGGUUUUAUAUUAUUUUGAAAUACUUUUCAUUAAAUAAACAUAUAUAUAACCAAAAAAUAUUAAAAAAUAAUAACUAUUGAGGUAAAUUUAUUAUAAAUUUAACUAACCUAAAUAACUAAUAAUCAUUAUUCACUUCUUAUUUUUGAACAAAAUAUCUACUAUUUACUAUUUAUAGUUUAAUUAUAAGAAUAUAACUUAUAAACACUGUACCUUAAAGUAUUUUUUAUAUUAAUUUUUAAUCAAGGUUUUAUUUUGAUAACCAACUCCAACUUAAUUAAUUAUAACUUAUAUUACGUGGAUUAUGGAAAUAAAAUUUAACUAUUAAUCAUUGCCUUCAUUUUAAAAUAAGUGUCACAUUUAAUUAUUUAAUGUAACAUUAAUUGUUUUUUUUUAUUAUUUCUAAUAAAUAUCACUUUAAUUUUUUAGUCUAAUAUUAAUAUUAUUUUUUAUCUAUUUAAUAAUAUUAUACUCUAUUUUAUUUAUUAAUUAACUUUUUUAUAUGUAUAAAAUAUUAUACAACCACACUUAUUUUCGGACUAGGGAGUAAAAAAAACAUUUAAGAAACAAGAUAGUAAGUUUUCUUCAAAUUCAUAAUUAAUAGCUAUCAGCCAAUUAGCUAGUGGUAGUGUGAGGAUAAGAUUGAAAAUGUAAUAAUAGCUAUUAGCCUAUUAGCUAGCGGUAAUGUGGGGAUCUGAUAGGCUGUCGGGAUACACACUUUUUUUUUAGAAGUUAUUCAAAUUUAAAAGAAGAUAGUUUUUUUUUAAAGACGUAUACGAGAAUAAAUUCUAAUUUUUACUAAUAAUUAUAAUUUAUUAGUUAAAUUCAAUGUUUAUAUAUACAAUUUUAAAAUAAUUUUUUUACUAUUAACGAGCUAAAACUAUUUUUCAUAUGACUUUUAAAAUAGUUAUUACAACAAUUUUAUCACAAAUAACAUUAUACAUCAAUAACUAAUAAGUGGUAAUGUUACAAAUUCCUGAAUAAGAUGACCCGGCCGGCCCGGAAAAAAACAAAAUUAGUCGAGAUUUUUAACAAGAUAUUUUUAUCAUCGAAAGUUAUAUACUAUCUUUUAAAGAAGUAGAAUAUGAAUUAAAGAAAAGCUUUUUUUGACACAUGUAUUAUUCUAUUCGCAUAGCUAAGGAUUGAAACACUAAUAUAUGUUUAAAGAGCUCAAAUUAUUUGCUACUUGUGUAAUAUCUUGUAGGGGUUGGAAAUUUUUUUAUUUGAAUCAUAUGUAUAAAAAAGUGCAUUUCAAUUUGAUGUCAACCAACACGUACUUUGUUCGAAACAGGCUGCAGGAAGAAUAGUCAUCAUCCUCAAAUUUUAGCUAUUUUAUUUAUUAAAAGUUUAAAUACAACCAAAUUAAUCACAUCUCGGAAGGAACUGUAAGGGAGAGUGUGUACUGUGCAGUCAAUUUCCAACCACAAUAAGCAAUACUUAUAAUAGGACCCAGUGACCCAUUAUUUCACAUGCAGAACCUUAUGUACUCUCAGAUCCACCGAUUGAUGGCGGUUCCUGCAUGCAUCACAAGUCACAAGCAUAUAAUACCUAAUUUAAGGUUUUUCCCCGCCAGCUAAAAUUCUCAUGUUCACUCAUGGUCAUUUCAUUAACAUACUAUUUAUUUAUUUUUUUGUAAAAAAAUUCAAGUGUUGAAUAUUAAUUUUGAGGUACUGAAUAUAUAAGUUUUAAUUAAAAAAAAUUAUGUUUUGGUUUGGGUAAUUGGCUCGAUUCAGUUUCGGUUGAUCUAGCAUGAUAUUAUUCCAUUUGGAUAUCUCGGAUAGUAACCCAAAUUUUAUGUUUGGUGAGACUUAUAAGCUAUUGUCUUUUUUUUUUCUUCUCAAUUUUAUGCUUAUUUUUUAUUUAAAAUUUAGUUUUAUCUUUUUAUUCAAUUUAAAAACUUUCUUAUUUUCUUUAUUGUCCGGACAAAUUCUCGUAUUUAAUUUAAUGUUCUUACAUGCUUACAACAAACAUAAUAAUCAAUCCCUCAAUUGUCAUUGUUACAUCAUUCUUUAAUAUUAGAUUUUUUUAAAAUUAUUUCAAUUUUAUAAUUAUUUACUAUUUUUUUUAUUUUAUAAUUACCUAUUUUGAUCCUUUGCAUUAUUUUUUAUUUUAUUGAUUUAAUUUGUUAAGGCAAAAAUAUAUCCUACUUUUCAAGAUGAUUAAUUAUUAAAAAUAAAAUUCAAAUAUUAAAAAUAUUAAUAUAUUAUUUGAUAUUUAUUAGAUAAUUUUAUUAAAUACUUUCUUAAUUAGCUAGCUUAUAAACUUAUAACUUUAUAGCUUAUAAACUUCCAACCAAUUUAUAAGUCAAUUUUUACGAGACAUAGCUAAAUUGAUCCAAACUGAAAAAAAAAAAAAACACACUAGUUUGGGUUGCUAGUAAAAUAAAAUAAAAUAAGACAACUGAAGCUAUCUAACUCAGUACUUAAUAAUUGAAUUGUCGAUUAAUUUAAGUUUGUAUAUUUUACCUAUAUACGUACAUAAUACACCAACUACUUGCUAAUAUUUUAAUAGAGUCGUCAUCAUAUUCUCAUUGACACUUCCAAACACCAUGAGCACUAUAUAAACCCCCCAUCCACACCAAAUUACUCCCAUCUUCACUUACACUCUUCUUUUAAGCUCUAGCAGUUAACUAACAAUAUUAGCAUUUGCUAGUGAUUAGGAAUAUAAAGAUACGCCAACCACAAACAGUUUAAGAUGGCCUCCAAAACAUGUUCAUCCCUUGCUCUUUUCCUCACACUCAACCUCCUCUUCUUUUCACUUGUCUCUGCAUGCGGUAGUUAUUCAUGCCCUAGUCCAAAGCCAAAGCCAAAGCCCAAGCCAAAGCCCAACCCUAACCCUAGUCCUUCUGGUGCAUCGUGCCCCCGUGACGCACUCAAGCUAGGUGUAUGUGCCAACGUGCUAAAAGGGUUGUUGAACGUGACUUUGGGUCAACCACCAGUUACCCCUUGCUGCACCCUUCUCGAUGGGCUCGUUGACCUUGAGGCUGCAGUGUGCCUUUGCACUGCCCUCAAAGCAAAUGUUUUGGGCAUCAACCUCAACCUUCCUAUCUCACUCAGCUUGCUUCUCAAUGUUUGCUCAAGGCAAGUCCCACGCGAUUUUCAAUGUGCCUAAUCAUGGCCUAUACACAACAUAUCAUAUAUAUCUAACGUGUUUGGAAACUCGUUGAGGAUGGAGAAAUC
This 19432-nucleotide long non-coding RNA is filed under the name Glycine max (soybean). RNAcentral describes it as "long non-coding RNA (GMAX_LNC003887)". The record is from RNAcentral. Lineage: Eukaryota; Viridiplantae; Streptophyta; Magnoliopsida; Fabales; Fabaceae.